This 497-nucleotide ribosomal RNA is filed under the name uncultured bacterium. RNAcentral describes it as "partial 16S ribosomal RNA". It matches the Rfam family "Bacterial small subunit ribosomal RNA", at positions 28 to 507 of the family's 1533-position model. The record is from RNAcentral.
GAUGAACGCUGGCGGCGUGCCUAAUACAUGCAAGUCGAGCGAACAGACGAGGAGCUUUCUCCUCUUACGUUAUCGGCGGACGGGUGAGUAACACUUGGAUAACCUACCUAUAAGCCUGGGAUAACUUCGGGAAACCGGCGCUAAUACCGGAUAAUAUAUUGAACCGCAUGGUUCAAUAGUGAAAGACGGUUUUGCUGUCACUUAUAGAUGGAUCCGCGCCGCAUUAGCUAGUUGGUAAGGUAACGGCUUACCAAGGCAACGAUGCGUAGCCGACCUGAGAGGGUGAUCGGCCACACUGGAACUGAGACACGGUCCAGACUCCUACGGGAGGCAGCAGUAGGGAAUCUUCCGCAAUGGGCGAAAGCUUGACGGAGCAACGCCGCGUGAGUGAUGAAGGUCUUCGGAUCGUAAAACUCUGUUAUUAGGGAAGAACAAAUGUGUAAGUAACUAUGCACGUCUUGACGGUACAUAAUCAGAAAGCCACGGCUAACUACGUG